GCCCCGGUGGCGCAACUGGUUAGCGCGCCGUACUUAUAGACAGUAUCGGCUAUGACAUGCGGAGGCUGUGAGUUCGAUCCUCACCCGGGGCA
Molecule: transfer RNA, 92 nt
Filed under: Dreissena polymorpha
Lineage: Eukaryota; Metazoa; Mollusca; Bivalvia; Myida; Dreissenidae
Rfam family: tRNA
About the family: Transfer RNA (tRNA) molecules are approximately 80 nucleotides in length. Their secondary structure includes four short double-helical elements and three loops (D, anti-codon, and T loops). Further hydrogen bonds mediate the characteristic L-shaped molecular structure. tRNAs have two regions of fundamental functional importance: the anti-codon, which is responsible for specific mRNA codon recognition, and the 3' end, to which the tRNAs corresponding amino acid is attached (by aminoacyl-tRNA synthetases). tRNAs cope with the degeneracy of the genetic code in two manners: having more than one tRNA (with a specific anti-codon) for a particular amino acid; and 'wobble' base-pairing, i.e. permitting non-standard base-pairing at the 3rd anti-codon position.
Source: Rfam by way of RNAcentral